GGCCCCAUCGUCUAGCGGUUAGGACACCAGGUUUUCAUCCUGGCAACGGGGGUUCGACUCCCCCUGGGGUCACCA
Molecule: transfer RNA, 75 nt
Filed under: bacterium
Lineage: Bacteria
Also listed under: 1 other name
Description: tRNA-Glu
Rfam family: tRNA
About the family: Transfer RNA (tRNA) molecules are approximately 80 nucleotides in length. Their secondary structure includes four short double-helical elements and three loops (D, anti-codon, and T loops).
Source: RNAcentral